GGGGUUGUGGCUCAGUGGUAGAGCGCUUGCCUAGCCUGCAUGAGGCACUGGGUUUGAUUCUCAACACCA
Molecule: transfer RNA, 69 nt
Filed under: Marmota monax (woodchuck)
Lineage: Eukaryota; Metazoa; Chordata; Mammalia; Rodentia; Sciuridae
Rfam family: tRNA
About the family: Transfer RNA (tRNA) molecules are approximately 80 nucleotides in length. Their secondary structure includes four short double-helical elements and three loops (D, anti-codon, and T loops). Further hydrogen bonds mediate the characteristic L-shaped molecular structure. tRNAs have two regions of fundamental functional importance: the anti-codon, which is responsible for specific mRNA codon recognition, and the 3' end, to which the tRNAs corresponding amino acid is attached (by aminoacyl-tRNA synthetases). tRNAs cope with the degeneracy of the genetic code in two manners: having more than one tRNA (with a specific anti-codon) for a particular amino acid; and 'wobble' base-pairing, i.e. permitting non-standard base-pairing at the 3rd anti-codon position.
Source: Rfam by way of RNAcentral